UGGCUUAAUGCUGCUGAGUGGACA
This 24-nucleotide non-coding RNA is filed under the name Arabidopsis thaliana (thale cress). Lineage: Eukaryota; Viridiplantae; Streptophyta; Magnoliopsida; Brassicales; Brassicaceae. The record is from RNAcentral.